CAGGGCCUACGGGGCGCAGCAGUGGGGAAUAUUGCACAAUGGGGGAAACCCUGAUGCAGCAACGCCGCGUGAGUGAUGACGGCCUUCGGAUUGUAAACCUCUGUCCUCUGUGAAGAUGAUGACGGUAGCAGAGGAGGAAGCUCCGGCUAACUACGUGCCAGCAGCCGCGGUAAUACGUAGGGAGCGAGCGUUGUCCGGAUUUACUGGGUGUAAAGGGUGCGUAGGCGGCUUGGCAAGUCAGUAGUGAAAUCCAUGGGCUUAACCCAUGAACUGCUAUUGAAACUGUGGAGCUUGAGUGAAGUAGG
This 305-nucleotide ribosomal RNA is filed under the name uncultured bacterium. RNAcentral describes it as "bacterial SSU rRNA". It matches the Rfam family "Bacterial small subunit ribosomal RNA", at positions 333 to 655 of the family's 1533-position model. The record is from RNAcentral.